AACGAACGCUGGCGGCAUGCCUAACACAUGCAAGUCGAACGAGACCUUCGGGUCUAGUGGCGCACGUGUGCGUAACGCGUGGUAACCUGCCCUUAGGUUCGGAAUAACUCCCCGUAAGGGGUGCUAAUACCGGUUAAUGUCUUCGGGCCAAAGAUUUAUCGCCUUUGGAUGGGCCCGCGUUGGAUUAGCUAGUUGGUAGGGUAAAAGCCUACCAAGGCGACGAUCCAUAGCUGGUCGGGGAGGAUGAUCAGCCACACUGGGACUAAGACACGGCCCAGACCCCGACGGGAGGGAGCAGUGGGGAAUAUUGGACGAUGGGCGAAAGCCUGAUACAGCAAUGCCGCGUGAGUGAUGAAGGCCUUAGGGUUGUAAAGCUCUUUUACACGGGAUGAUAAUGACAGUAACGGGAGAAUAAGCUCCGGCUAACUCCGUG
RNAcentral lists this ribosomal RNA (433 nucleotides) under uncultured bacterium. RNAcentral describes it as "partial 16S ribosomal RNA". It matches the Rfam family "Bacterial small subunit ribosomal RNA", at positions 29 to 507 of the family's 1533-position model. The record is from RNAcentral.